This 69-nucleotide transfer RNA is filed under the name Ovis aries (sheep). It matches the Rfam family "tRNA". Rfam says of the family: Transfer RNA (tRNA) molecules are approximately 80 nucleotides in length. Their secondary structure includes four short double-helical elements and three loops (D, anti-codon, and T loops). Lineage: Eukaryota; Metazoa; Chordata; Mammalia; Artiodactyla; Bovidae. The record is from Rfam by way of RNAcentral.
CCUGAUAGCUCAGAGGUUAAAACGUCUGCCUGUAAUGCAGGAGGCCAGGGUUCGAUCCCUGGGUCAGGA